This is a long non-coding RNA of Panonychus citri (citrus red mite), 500 nucleotides long. RefSeq lists it as uncharacterized. The transcript has 3 exons. The record is from RefSeq and is a predicted model, not a curated record. NCBI's taxonomy places the organism in Eukaryota, Metazoa, Arthropoda, Arachnida, Trombidiformes, Tetranychidae.
AUAAAAUUAAUAAUUCUAAUCACUUUUUGAUCAAUUUUUUAACAAGUUGUAACUUAGUAUCAGUUAAUCAAAUCUUCAUCAAAAUGAACAAGACCCUUUACUUGAUCGGUUUAAUUGUCAUCUUGGCAACAAUCAGUGUCAACUAUUUAGCCAAUGCAGAUUGUUGGUUCUUUGGCUGUUCUGAUGUCGACAUGUGCGCUAAACGAGGUCUCAUCGCCAGCGACAAGACCGCUUGUGAUGGUGGAUUCGAGUACUUCUGCUGUGACCCAGAGCCUACUGUUGUCGGCGCUUAAAUCGGACGUGAUGGUUAAUUAAAUCCUAGAUUAUUGGUUGGUUAUCAAUGGAAUAGGAUUGUUACCAAACUAUUACUUGAAUUUAUUAAUUGUUACUAAUCAUAGAUUGUCUUUAUUUGUAAGUCUAUGACUCAAUCUAUUUAUUUAGAUGUGAAAAUUGAUCAAAAAUAAAGGUUAAUUAAGUGAUUGCAUUGAGAAAAAUUUUAA